UAAUACAUGCAAGUCGAGCGGAUCUUCAUUAGCUUGCUUACGAAGAUCAGCGGCGGACGGGUGAGUAACACGUGGGCAACCUGCCUGUAAGACUGGGAUAACUUCGGGAAACCGGAGCUAAUACCGGAUAAUCCUUUCCCUCACAUGAGGGAAAGCUGAAAGACGGUUUCGGCUGUCACUUACAGAUGGGCCCGCGGCGCAUUAGCUAGUUGGUGAGGUAACGGCUCACCAAGGCAACGAUGCGUAGCCGACCUGAGAGGGUGAUCGGCCACACUGGGACUGAGACACGGCCCAGACUCCUACGGGAGGCAGCAGUAGGGAAUCUUCCGCAAUGGACGAAAGUCUGACGGAGCAACGCCGCGUGAACGAUGAAGGCUUUCGGGUCGUAAAGUUCUGUUGUCAGGGAAGAACAAGUACCGGAGUAACUGCCGGUACUUGACGGUACCUGACCAGAAAGCCACGGCUAACUACGUGCCAGCAGCCGCGGUAAUAC
RNAcentral lists this ribosomal RNA (493 nucleotides) under uncultured marine bacterium. RNAcentral's name for it is "bacterial SSU rRNA". It matches the Rfam family "Bacterial small subunit ribosomal RNA", at positions 49 to 526 of the family's 1533-position model. The record is from RNAcentral.